UAGGGAAUCUUGCGCAAUGGGCGAAAGCCUGACGCAGCCAUGCCGCGUGAAUGAUGAAGGUCUUAGGAUUGUAAAUUCUUUCACCGGGGAAGAUAAUGACGGUACCCGGAGAAGAAGCCCCGGCUAACUUCGUGCCAGCAGCCGCGGUAAUACGAAGGGGGCUAGCGUUGCUCGGAAUUACUGGGCGUAAAGGGCGCGUAGGCGGACAUUUAAGUCAGGGGUGAAAGCCCGGGGCUCAACCUCGGAAUUGCCUUUGAUACUGGAUGUCUUGAGUUCGGGAGAGGUGAGUGGAAUGCCGAGUGUAGAGGUGAAAUUCGUAGAUAUUCGGCGGAACACCAGUGGCGAAGGCGACUCACUGGCCCGAUACUGACGCUGAGGCGCGAAAGCGUGGGGAGCAAACAGGAUUAGAUACCCUGGUAGUCCACGCCGUAAACGAUGAGUGCUAGUUGUCGGCAUGCAUGCAUGUCGGUGACGCAGCUAACGCAUUAAGCACUCCGCCUGGGGAGUACGGUCGCAAGAUUAAAAACUUAAAUGAAUUGAC
This 541-nucleotide ribosomal RNA is filed under the name uncultured bacterium. Its description in RNAcentral is "partial 16S ribosomal RNA". It matches the Rfam family "Bacterial small subunit ribosomal RNA", at positions 355 to 914 of the family's 1533-position model. The record is from RNAcentral.